UGAGGACUAUACCGGCAUGCAACGCGGUCAGGCGCGGUUUUUUACAUAUUAUCGAUUUCUCGCUCUGCGCCGUCAUUGUUCGGUCGGCUUUCGCUGUGUUUACACCUCGAGGUUUCAAGAGAUUCAGAAAAGAUUUAUCGAAAAAAUAUUGUAAAAUGGUGGAUUUUUGCACUAUGCAUGGAAACAAAGCUUCGUUUUUGGGUGGACACGAGCUUCUGUGUGUUACUGUGUGUCAAAACAGCCUUUAAUUUUGAUUCCGGAAGAAUUACCGUGUGAUGAACUUGAAUGUCGUGUGGUUGAUGUUUAUAGUUUUACGGAUAGUUCGAAGAAUAGUCCUUUGUCCAGCUGUGGUUAACGGGAUAAAAAUUGAUGAAAUUGUUCGCUGAUUGCGGUAGUCCUGCACUGGUACAAAUUCACUGUAGUUGUGUUUUUAAGGUGAGAU
RNAcentral lists this long non-coding RNA (442 nucleotides) under Paramuricea clavata. The record is from RNAcentral. Lineage: Eukaryota; Metazoa; Cnidaria; Anthozoa; Malacalcyonacea; Plexauridae.